GGUCGGGACGCUUACUGGGCCUAAAGCGCCCGUAGCCGGCCCAGCAAGCCCUUACUGAAAUCCUUGGGCUUAACCCGAGGAUAGGUAAGGGAACUGCUGGGCUAGGGGGCGGGAGAGGCCGAGGGUACUCCCGGGGUAGGGGCGAAAUCCUAUAAUCCCGGGAAGACCACCAGUGGCGAUGGCCGCUCGGCUGGAACGCGCCCGACGGUGAGGGGCGAAAGCCGGGGGAGCGAACCGGAUUAGAUACCCGGGUAGUCCCGGCUGUAAACGAUGCGGGCUAGGUGUUGGGUGGGCUUUGAGCACACCCAGUGCCGCAGGGAACCCCGUUAAGCCCGCCGCUUGGGGAGUACGGCCGCAAGGCUGAAACUUAAAGGAAUUGGCGGGGGAGCACCACAAGGGGUGGAGCCUGCGGUUUAAUUGGAGUCAACGCCGGGAAUCUUACCGAGGGCGACAGCAGGAUGAAGGCCAGGCUAACGACCUUGCCAGACACGCUGAGAGGAGGUGCAUGGCCGUCGCCAGCUCGUGCCGUGAGGCGUCCGGUUAAGUCCGGCAACGAGCGAGAUCCCCACCCCCAGUUGCGAUCCCGAUCCCUGGAUCGGGAGCACACUGGGGGGACUGCCGCCGAUAAGGCGGAGGAAGGAGGGGGCCACGGCAGGUCAGCAUGCCCCGAAUCCCUCGGGCUACACGCGGGCUACAAUGGUGGGGACAGCGGGUGCCGACCCCGAAAGGGGAAGGCAAUCCCUGAAACCCCGCCGUGGUUGGGAUCGAGGGCUGUAACUCGCCCUCGUGAACGUGGAAUCCCUA
RNAcentral lists this ribosomal RNA (804 nucleotides) under uncultured Thermoprotei archaeon. RNAcentral describes it as "bacterial SSU rRNA". It matches the Rfam family "Archaeal small subunit ribosomal RNA", at positions 490 to 1293 of the family's 1478-position model. Lineage: Archaea; Thermoproteati; Thermoproteota; Thermoprotei. The record is from RNAcentral.